AAUGAUUAUAAUAAAGAUAUGGAUAAGAUCCGUGUGCAAUUUUCCACACCACCUUGGCUAUCGAAAAACGCCAAUGAAAUAUUAUUACGAGUAUUUGACGUUAUUCGAAAAGCGUAUGAGGUUUUGCACGAGGCGCGUUUUUUUUAUAGUGGUGUCCCCGAGUAGGCCUAAUCCACUGUGUCGAUUAACCUAACCUUACCUUAAAUCCAUAAUAUUACACUCUAUAAUGUAAUACGAUCACUGAAUUCUCGUUCCUUGAAGUCAUCCGCAGCUACCAGCAAUCUUGGCUCGAAGAGUUCGCGUGCAAAUAAACCGAUAAAAAACCAUAAAAGAAAAAAAAGAUUUACGAAAAGAUAGA
This is a non-coding RNA of Cinara cedri, 358 nucleotides long. Lineage: Eukaryota; Metazoa; Arthropoda; Insecta; Hemiptera; Aphididae. The record is from the annotation of a GenBank genome assembly.